AUUCAUUAUUCAACCCAUUUUUAAUAGAUAAUAUGGGUGGAUAACUAUUUUCUUUUAUCCAUUUUGCCACCACUAAUCGACACAAUAAGUAUCUGAAGGCGUUACGAUUUAUUCCUUGUGAUAGGUAUUCUCAUGAAGGCAAUUCUAUGUUUAUUGUCGAGAUAUUUUCGCCCAACAAGAGCAAUUAGACCAAACUUGUUGUUAUGUCUCCGCGGAUUUUGAAAAGUUCGGGUUCUAAGACUUCGAUUAUUGCCUGCGGACGGACGUUAUAUACAUUGAAUUAUAGCAAUGGCAUUACGGUUAAUUGUAUUCUCACGUUUGAUCCAUUCACUAAUGAUCCUGCUCAGUUCCUAUGCGUUAUUGAUUUACCACCUGAGGCUCGUGAUAUUCGUUGUAUGGCCAGCGAAUUGGGAGUGUGUCGAGGUUGUUUACAUCUUGCUCGAGUAAAUCUCCAACCAAGUACAUACCCUUGUAUAAGUGUAUGAGAGCUUGAGGAUUACAGAAGGGGAAAUGGACGUUGGUACACAAGAGAAUCCGGACGAACAAGGCAUUAAGAGUGCCCCUAUUUCGUUGUGAUACCAAGAAUUUGAUUUAUGUACUAGCUUUUCUCCCAAAUAAUGUGGAUCUUAUAUGUUUUCGUGCAGGUAAUUAUCAUGUUGUCGUGUACAAUAUACAAACAGAUAAAGUGGAAAGCUCUACCCGCUAUUCUCUAUUCACGCUGCAUGAUCCACCAAGAUUACUAGUAUCAGAUGUGUUACCAAUUGCCAAAAAUGGUGGCCAACUCCGCUCACAUAGGCAUCUCUGACAGAGGAGCAUAGUCCAAUGCAAACCAAAAAUACUGAGAAACAUGUUCCAUAUUUCUGUGGCUACUGAAAAAAAGGGCAGCUCGCUGCACUAAGCUCCUACUAUGUGUGGGGUCCGGGAAGGGCCGGACCAUAGAGGUCUAUUGUACGCAGUGUUACCCUGCAUUUCUGCAAGAGACUGUUUCCACGGCUCGAACCAGUAACCUUCUGGUCACAUGGCAAUAACUUUACCAGUUACGCUAAGGCUCCCCCUCAUUUCUGUGGCUACUUCUGUGGCUACUGAAUAGUGGAGAAAAAGAUGGUUAAUGGAUUUUGAAUUCGGUUGGCACAUGCAACAUCUAUUGGCCAGUUGGAAACAACUUCUGCUGAGGUUGUCUUGGGUGAAGCGGGCACCCUUUAAAGCCAACCAGCUGAAGUAGCACACUUUAGGUGGUGGGUUUUUUUUUUCCAUUCUAGUUUCCAGGGCCAUAAAUCAAUCGUUAUAUUAUUGGAGCACAGGUCAACAUACUCUGCCUUGACAGAGUAAAUUCCAUCCUUAGUGUUUCCCCAUUUCAUUUUGUCCUUCUGCUGAGUGUUAACAGUGCGCUCUCUAGUAAUUUCAUCACGUUUAUGAAUUCCUCCACCUCCCAAUCUUAUAGGUUCCUUGUAAGGUUUGGGCUCCAUGAGUGGCCUUCCCUGUUUUGAGCAACAAGAGAUUCUGGAUUUGCUGCAAUAAGAAAGGGAUUUGGAAAAGCUUCUUUUACUGUUGAGUCCCCUAACCAUUUCUAAGUCCUGAAUUUUGUGGUGGCCGCAUCAUCAAUCUGAAAAUGGAUGUUUUUAGAAAAAGCUCAGUAGUAUAUGCUCUUCCAUAACCCUGUGCCAUGAGGAGGUUGAACUACAAGCAUGUUGACUUAGAAAUAUAGUACUUCAAUGUAUUAGAGAACUCAUAGUGUUAGAUAAUCUGUAAAUACGAAAUUUUGAAACAUUAUGCAUCCAACCGGAGCAUUUUGAUAUUUAGGAGUCGUACACCAACACUAACAGAAUGAGGUGCAGUAAUUGUUAUUUCUGUUGUUGUUAGAAUCCAAGGCCUCCUAGGUGCUUGUUUUUGCUA
This is a non-coding RNA of Nicotiana tabacum (common tobacco), 1893 nucleotides long. NCBI's taxonomy places the organism in Eukaryota, Viridiplantae, Streptophyta, Magnoliopsida, Solanales, Solanaceae. The record is from RefSeq and is a predicted model, not a curated record.